CUGGUGUGAUCUGCCCUGCACUCUGGGAUAAGCCUGGGAAACUGGGUCUAAUACCGGAUAUGACCAACUGUCGCAUGGUGGUUGGUGGAAAGCUUUUGCGGUGUGGGAUGGGCCCGCGGCCUAUCAGCUUGUUGGUGGGGUAAUGGCCUACCAAGGCGACGACGGGUAGCCGACCUGAGAGGGUGAUCGGCCACACUGGGACUGAGACACGGCCCAGACUCCUACGGGAGGCAGCAGUGGGGAAUAUUGCACAAUGGGCGCAAGCCUGAUGCAGCGACGCCGCGUGAGGGAUGACGGCCUUCGGGUUGUAAACCUCUUUCACCAGGGACGAAGCGUGAGUGACGGUACCUGGAGAAGAAGCACCGGCCAACUACGUGCCAGCAGCCGCGGUAAUACGUAGGGUGCGAGCGUUGUCCGGAAUUACUGGGCGUAAAGAGCUCGUAGGCGGUUUGUCGCGUCGUCUGUGAAAUUCUGCAACUCAAUUGCAGGCGUGCAGGCGAUACGGGCAGACUUGAGUACUACAGGGGAGACUGGAAUUCCUGGUGUAGCGGUGAAAUGCGCAGAUAUCAGGAGGAACACCGGUGGCGAAGGCGGGUCUCUGGGUAGUAACUGACGCUGAGGAG
This 623-nucleotide ribosomal RNA is filed under the name Gordonia sp. EUC 70. RNAcentral's name for it is "bacterial SSU rRNA". It matches the Rfam family "Bacterial small subunit ribosomal RNA", at positions 116 to 753 of the family's 1533-position model. The record is from RNAcentral. Lineage: Bacteria; Bacillati; Actinomycetota; Actinomycetes; Mycobacteriales; Gordoniaceae.